AGUCAAUAGAUACCCGGGUAGUCCAUGCCGUAAACGAUGAUUGCUAGGUGUGGGGGGUCUGACCCUUCCGUGCCGGAGUUAAACACAAAUAAGCAAUCCACCUGGGGAGUACGGCCGCAAGGUUGAAACUCAAAGGAAUUGACGGGGGCCCGCACAAGCAGUGGAGUAUGUGGUUUAAUUCGAAGCAACGCGAAGAACCUUACCAGGUCUUGACAUCCACCGAAUCCUGUAGAGAUACGGGAGUGCCCUUCGGGGAGCGGUGAGACAGGUGGUGCAUGGUUGUCGUCAGCUCGUGUCGUGAGAUGUUGGGUUAAGUCCCGCAACGAGCGCAACCC
RNAcentral lists this ribosomal RNA (335 nucleotides) under uncultured bacterium. RNAcentral's name for it is "bacterial SSU rRNA". It matches the Rfam family "Bacterial small subunit ribosomal RNA", at positions 775 to 1104 of the family's 1533-position model. The record is from RNAcentral.